GAUGAAGAACGUAGCGAAAUGCGAUAAGUAAUGUGAAUUGCAGAAUUCAGUGAACCAUCGAAUCUUUGAACGCACAUUGCGCCCGGCAGUAAUCUGCCGGGCAUGCCUGUCCGAGCGUCAUUUCUCCCCUCGAGCGCAGCUUUCCCCCCCGGGGGAGGGCCGCGCCCGGUGUUGGGGCGCUACGGAGGAGCCCAGCGCUCCCCCGUAGGCCCCGAAAUGUAGUGGCGGUCCCGCCGCGGCGCCCCCUGCGUAGUAGUUUUACAACUCGCAUCGGGUCCCGGCGGAGGCCAGCCGUCAAACCCCCCAACUUCAAUAGUUUGACCUCGGAUCAGGUAGGGUUACCCGCUUAACUUAAGCAUAUCAAUAAGCGGAGGA
Molecule: unclassified non-coding RNA, 375 nt
Filed under: soil metagenome
Description: partial contains 5.8S ribosomal RNA, internal transcribed spacer 2, and large subunit ribosomal RNA
Rfam family: 5.8S ribosomal RNA (bases 1-120)
Source: RNAcentral